AGAAUGUAAUAAAAUAACCAGACUUAGCUUAAAAAAAACCUAAAAAAACGCAGAUUUGGCUUAAAAGGCUUUAAAAAAAAAACCCAAAAAAUCAAAUUCAUGCCUAAAAAUCUUCCUGAAAAGAUUUUUCCACCCCACUCCUGAGUGCACCUGGAAACUGGGGCAGGGAAAUCCCAUUUUUUUCCCCAUUUUCUCCCCAUUUUUCCCCAUUUUUUUCCCAUUUUUCCCAUUUUUCCCAUUUUUCCUAUUUUUCCCCAUUUUUUCCCAUUUUUCCCGUUUUUUUUUAGCAGAAUUGGAGCCCUAAAAUCAGAAGGAAAAAGGGAGGAAAAAUUUCCUUUUAAAAUUCUCCCGCCUUUCUCCUUCCCGCGCAUUUCCCCCAGAGAAACUCCCAUCCCAAAAAAAUCCCGGGAUUCCGGGAUCCAGGAGGCUCAGGAUCCAUCCCAAGGGAUUUUUAUGGAAUUCUGGGAUAGGGAGACCCUUCCUGGAGUCCCCAAUUCCCAGGGAAUUCCCAAAAUCCCUUCCCUUGGGAUGGGGCUGGAUCCAAGCCCAGGCUGGGAAUGGAGGGAAUUCCAUGGGAAAAACGGAAUCUUGGGAAGGAAUUCCCGGCUGGGCUGGAAUUCCCUGGAUCUCUGAGAGUAUCCAAGGAAAGCUUGGAGCAUCCUGAGCUGUUCCUGGAAUGGGAUAUUUGGAAUUUCUGGAAUGAAAAUCAAGGAAAACUUGGGAGCAAUCCCAAACCUUUUUAUCCAAGGAUUCAGAUUCAUCCCUUCGGCUCUUCCCAGGGAUUUCCCGGAAUUUUCCGUGCUCACUCCUUCCCGUUCCCGUUUUUCCGCAGUGCCGCGACGUGAGGACGCGGGAGGUCGGAAUUCAGGAAAUCCACCACAAAGUGAGGCCGUACCAGGUGGAGUUGAUCCGUCGGGAUUACGUGGCCAACGGGGGCUGGGAGACGUUCCUGUCCUACGAGGAUCCCGAGCAGGACAUCCUGGUGGGGCUCCUGCGCCUCCGGAAGAGCUCCCCGGAAUCUUUCCGCCCGGAGCUCAAGGGCGGCGUCUCCAUUGUCCGGGAAUUGCACGUCUACGGCAGCGUGGUGCCCGUCAGCAGCCGGGAUCCCUCCAAAUUCCAGCACCAGGUACUCCAGGCCUUCCCGGAUUUCCCUCUGCUCCUCAUUCCCUCUCUCCCCUCCCCAAAAAAACCUGGAAUUUUGUUUCAUUUCACUCUGAGUUAGGACAGGACCAGGAUGGGAUUGCAGCUCCUUUUGGCUGGAAUUCUGUCUCUUCCGCGUUUGCGUUGUUGGUUUUUUCCCAUGGGAUCACAUUCCAGCUCCGAGAUUUUAAACAAAAUUCUUUGAGAUUUGAAACAAUUCCUUUCGGGAUGCUCCCGGAGCCGCUGCGUUCCCAGGGCCGAUUUGCCUUUGGAUUUCCUUCGUUAAUUAAUUCCCGCUCCUGGAAGGAGGAAUUCCACUCCUGGAAUCCGCAGCAGUUCCUUUGGGAAGGGGAGGUCGGAUUUGGCGCUGCCUGGGUUUCUUUCCAAGGGACUUUGGUGGGAUGGGUUCUUCCCGCUGGAUCAGAAUUCCCAGGAGUGUCCCAGGAAAGGCUGGAGAACCCUGGGAUCGUGGGAGGUGUCAGGGUUGGAAUGGGAAUGGGAUUUAAGGUCCCUUCCCAAACCAGUCUGGAAUUACAACGCCCCAAUUUCCGUCCUUGGACACUCCCAGGGAUUCUCUGGGAAUUCCCAGCCAGGAAUUCCUUCCCAAAUCCCACCCCAAGCUCCCCUUUCCCAGGGAAUUCCCUCCAUUCCCAGCCUGGGAUUGGAUCCAUCCCCAACCCGACUCCUCUCCGGGAAGGAAUUUCAGAAUCCAGGGGGUUCACUGGGAAUUGGGGACUCCAGGAAGGGUCUCCCUUCCCUUUUCCAUCCCCAAAUUCCAUAAAAAACCCUCGGGAUGGAUUCUGA
This is a long non-coding RNA of Parus major (Great Tit), 1944 nucleotides long. NCBI's taxonomy places the organism in Eukaryota, Metazoa, Chordata, Aves, Passeriformes, Paridae. The record is from Ensembl.